This 859-nucleotide ribosomal RNA is filed under the name Curtobacterium sp. RNAcentral describes it as "bacterial SSU rRNA". It matches the Rfam family "Bacterial small subunit ribosomal RNA", at positions 634 to 1490 of the family's 1533-position model. The record is from RNAcentral. Lineage: Bacteria; Bacillati; Actinomycetota; Actinomycetes; Micrococcales; Microbacteriaceae.
GGGCAGACUAGAGUGCGGUAGGGGAGAUUGGAAUUCCUGGUGUAGCGGUGGAAUGCGCAGAUAUCAGGAGGAACACCGAUGGCGAAGGCAGAUCUCUGGGCCGUAACUGACGCUGAGGAGCGAAAGCAUGGGGAGCGAACAGGAUUAGAUACCCUGGUAGUCCAUGCCGUAAACGUUGGGCGCUAGAUGUAGGGACCUUUCCACGGUUUCUGUGUCGUAGCUAACGCAUUAAGCGCCCCGCCUGGGGAGUACGGCCGCAAGGCUAAAACUCAAAGGAAUUGACGGGGGCCCGCACAAGCGGCGGAGCAUGCGGAUUAAUUCGAUGCAACGCGAAGAACCUUACCAAGGCUUGACAUACACCGGAAACGGCCAGAGAUGGUCGCCCCCUUGUGGUCGGUGUACAGGUGGUGCAUGGUUGUCGUCAGCUCGUGUCGUGAGAUGUUGGGUUAAGUCCCGCAACGAGCGCAACCCUCGUUCUAUGUUGCCAGCGGGUUAUGCCGGGGACUCAUAGGAGACUGCCGGGGUCAACUCGGAGGAAGGUGGGGAUGACGUCAAAUCAUCAUGCCCCUUAUGUCUUGGGCUUCACGCAUGCUACAAUGGCCGGUACAAAGGGCUGCGAUACCGUAAGGUGGAGCGAAUCCCAAAAAGCCGGUCUCAGUUCGGAUUGAGGUCUGCAACUCGACCUCAUGAAGUCGGAGUCGCUAGUAAUCGCAGAUCAGCAACGCUGCGGUGAAUACGUUCCCGGGCCUUGUACACACCGCCCGUCAAGUCAUGAAAGUCGGUAACACCCGAAGCCGGUGGCCUAACCCUUGUGGAAGGAGCCGUCGAAGGUGGGAUCGGUGAUUAGGACUAAGUCGUA